AAUACAGCUGAUAUUUAAAGACACUAAACAGUUAUUGUCUUUAUCCUGCAAUUAAUUCUGUAUACUAUAUGUGUUUUAAAAGUUACAAAAAAACACAUGUUUUGCAUUUAUUUUCGAUUUGAAAUCCCUUGAGGCCCGUGUAGUAAUACGACACUGUAAUCACACAUUCAGCUGAAGACGGGUUCGCAAAAAAAGAAUCUUGAAUGGUCAACAAUAAUACAUUGCUCAAGGUGAAUAAUUACCUAUUUUAACAUAACAACUAAUUUCAACAGUAAAAACAAAUAACAAAACGUUGUCUUAAUUGAAACAGGGGUGUACGAGUUGUCCUACGCUUCAGACUCGACAUACACAAUCAAAUGCGAUUGCAAUACACAUUCUGAGGUCACGCAGGUUCAUACAAUACUCAAUCCGGUAGUGGGUGGAGCUUUAAAGUGAUAUCUGUAUAGUAUACAGAGACAACAUAGCAAUAUAUCUGUAGGGCUGUAUCUGUAUAGUAGAACACCCAAUUGCAGGAUAAAAUGUGUUAAAGUGUUAAAAGCUGGACCAAUAUCGUAAUCAAUGUUCCGGAAUAUUAACAUCAAAAGUG
RNAcentral lists this long non-coding RNA (586 nucleotides) under Mytilus galloprovincialis (Mediterranean mussel). The record is from RNAcentral. Lineage: Eukaryota; Metazoa; Mollusca; Bivalvia; Mytilida; Mytilidae.